This 218-nucleotide long non-coding RNA is filed under the name Capsicum annuum. RNAcentral describes it as "long non-coding RNA (CANN_LNC001793)". The record is from RNAcentral. Lineage: Eukaryota; Viridiplantae; Streptophyta; Magnoliopsida; Solanales; Solanaceae.
UUUAUUUUAAUUUUAAUGUUAUUUUAAUAUAAAUACAUUGCUUCACUCGCUCAUACACACGUGACUAUAUGCGUCUUAUCCCAGUCGGCAAUUUUAGUGCCCCAUAGAUCAAGUCAACGGUCAAAGGGUAUAAAAAGUUGAAUUUUAUUAAAUUGAGGGGUCUAGAUGACAAACAUAUAAGUAGGAGUAUCCACAUUAUAAAAAUAUAUAAUACAAGG